Molecule: non-coding RNA, 32 nt
Filed under: Prorocentrum micans
Lineage: Eukaryota; Dinophyceae; Prorocentrales; Prorocentraceae
Source: RNAcentral
UUUUUUUUUUUUUUUUUUUUUUUUUUCUUGCU